AUACUCUGGUUUCUCUUCGGAUUGUAUAAAUCUUUCGCCUUUUACUAAAGAUUUCCGUGGAGAGGACCAUUUAUGAGUUUGUAACUAAUUUCAAAC
RNAcentral lists this small nuclear RNA (96 nucleotides) under Salvator merianae (Argentine black and white tegu). RNAcentral describes it as "U5 spliceosomal RNA (ENSSMRG00000012858.1)". It matches the Rfam family "U5 spliceosomal RNA". From Rfam's summary of the family: U5 RNA is a component of both types of known spliceosome. The precise function of this molecule is unknown, though it is known that the 5' loop is required for splice site selection and p220 binding, and that both the 3' stem-loop and the Sm site are important for Sm protein binding and cap methylation. The record is from RNAcentral. Lineage: Eukaryota; Metazoa; Chordata; Lepidosauria; Squamata; Teiidae.